This 610-nucleotide ribosomal RNA is filed under the name Marinobacter sp. RNAcentral's name for it is "bacterial SSU rRNA". It matches the Rfam family "Bacterial small subunit ribosomal RNA", at positions 48 to 650 of the family's 1533-position model. Lineage: Bacteria; Pseudomonadati; Pseudomonadota; Gammaproteobacteria; Pseudomonadales; Marinobacteraceae. The record is from RNAcentral.
CUUACACAUGCAGUCGAGCGGUAACAGGGGGUGCUUGCACCCCGCUGACGAGCGGCGGACGGGUGAGUAAUGCAUAGGAAUCUGCCCAGUAGUGGGGGAUAGCCCGGGGAAACCCGGAUUAAUACCGCAUACGCCCUUUGGGGGAAAGCAGGGGAUCUUCGGACCUUGCGCUAUUGGAUGAGCCUAUGUCGGAUUAGCUAGUUGGUGGGGUAAAGGCCUACCAAGGCGACGAUCCGUAGCUGGUCUGAGAGGAUGAUCAGCCACAUCGGGACUGAGACACGGCCCGAACUCCUACGGGAGGCAGCAGUGGGGAAUAUUGGACAAUGGGGGCAACCCUGAUCCAGCCAUGCCGCGUGUGUGAAGAAGGCUUUCGGGUUGUAAAGCACUUUCAGUGAGGAGGAAAACCUUCUGGUUAAUACCCAUGAGGCUUGACGUUACUCACAGAAGAAGCACCGGCUAACUCCGUGCCAGCAGCCGCGGUAAUACGGAGGGUGCAAGCGUUAAUCGGAAUUACUGGGCGUAAAGCGCGCGUAGGUGGUUUGAUAAGCGAGAUGUGAAAGCCCCGGGCUUAACCUGGGAACGGCAUUUCGAACUGUCAGGCUAGAGUGUG